AGACAUUUUCUUCUUACUGGGCCCUCUCCCUCUCCCACAAGAAACAGAGCGCACAAAAAAUUUUAGAUAUUCACAACGACCAUGUAAAAAGCAAUAUAUUUUUGUUUAUUUGUUUAUUAUAUACAGUUGCCCAACAGAAAAGUAAACUAUCUAUUUACGAACUUUUCAAAAUAGACAACUUGACCGGGCCCUUCAAAAUACCGGGCCAUAGGCAUUUGUCUACGCGAUGAUCCGACCCUGACAAACACCACUUUCCGGCUAUUUAAAAAUUGUACUUUUACUCGAUCCACUCUAAUGGUGGUUAGGAAAACCCUUUCUCGGUGGUCCCUUUAACCCACCCACGGGUGACUUAAUAACGGCUAGGGCCUAUUUCCCCCACGGGGACACCGACGACGGAAAACGUCGAGGCGGUGGUCGAUUCUCGCGCGAGGAAAUUCGGUUGGCGGAACCACAUCUCGGCCAUCAUCCUCGAUUAAUAUACAUGGUGGAUGGUAUGCAGCCAGAGGCCAUGGUCGACAGAAAAUGGUGCCAAAGAAGGCGGUUGUGUUACGUUUCUUUUGUUUAAACGUUUUAAUUAAUGACGGGAAAGCUCAAAAUGAUAGAAAACGUCAUUUUAGUUAAAUAAAAACUUUUUCAAAAUUGUUAAAAAUUUGCGUCUAGCCACGGUUUAUCAUCAUAUUUUUAGUUUCUGGAUAGUAUGUGGUAAUUUCUCAUAAAUAUUUUUCUUCACUUUUAUUUUACUUUCACCCGCCAUUAUUUUUAGACUAAACGCCUGGCUAAUGGUAACCAAAGAUGUUUCGAUGGUAACACGUAUCGUCAUUGGUGGGCUAACUUCCCAUCAGUCAUCUUUCAGCGAAACGCAAAACUUGGUAUUUCUGAACUCGGCAUUUGGCCGUUUCCUGGUCGGUGGCCGGUUCAUAGACGGCCGGAAUGGAAAUGCGAAAGGAAAGGAACACGUUCCGUUCCUUUUCCACGUUCCUGAACGGUGUGUCUAUCCGUUGGUAAUUGAACGGAAUGAAGAAAGAAUGCGCACGCUUUCGGUCGAUUCUCGUUCGAAAUACGGUGGC
Molecule: long non-coding RNA, 1067 nt
Filed under: Androctonus crassicauda
Lineage: Eukaryota; Metazoa; Arthropoda; Arachnida; Scorpiones; Buthidae
Source: RNAcentral